Molecule: non-coding RNA, 26 nt
Filed under: Rattus norvegicus (Norway rat)
Lineage: Eukaryota; Metazoa; Chordata; Mammalia; Rodentia; Muridae
Source: RNAcentral
UGGUCCGAGCAUAUGGGUGCCUGUGU